UGAGGCAGGAGAAUUGCUUGAACCCAGGAAGUGGAGGUUGCAGUGAGCCAAGAUCGCACCACUGCACUCCAGCCUGGGAGACAGAGCGAGAUUCCA
RNAcentral lists this microRNA precursor (96 nucleotides) under Rhinopithecus bieti (black snub-nosed monkey). RNAcentral's name for it is "miRNA (ENSRBIG00000017655.1)". The record is from RNAcentral. Lineage: Eukaryota; Metazoa; Chordata; Mammalia; Primates; Cercopithecidae.